GUAAACAGCCCUCGUUGUUUGCUUAUACUAAAAUCGGAUUGAUACAGAGAAGAUUAUCAUGGCUUCUGCUCAAGGAUGACAUGCAAAUUUGUGAAGUGUUCCAUAUUUAA
This 110-nucleotide small nuclear RNA is filed under the name Castor canadensis (American beaver). Lineage: Eukaryota; Metazoa; Chordata; Mammalia; Rodentia; Castoridae. The record is from RNAcentral.